UUGAGGAGUCACUUGAGUUUACCCUGUUUCAGGCCAUAUGCUUUGGGAUGGUUCAUACUUGGAUCAGGGCGCUAAGCCAAUCAGACAACUGCAUUUCUCUUUCUUCAGUAAUUGAUUAGGAAACAGAGUGACAAUUCAAGCGCAGCCAAUGCUUCUCAAAGAGGCUUUACCUGAUUUUUUAAAACCUAAGGCUCAAAGUACAACUUGCCCCAAAUUGGAUGGUCAAUAAGUGGUAACAUCAGGAUUACAAGGUAAGCAGCCCGCCUUUACAGCAGAAACCUAAAGAAAGCUUUGCAACUCUAAAUAUGUUCUGUGGACUAGCAGCCCUAGGGUCACCCAGGAACUUGUUGAAAUUGCAGUCUCAACCUCCACCCUAGACUUGCCAAAUCAGAAUUUGUAUUUUAACAAGAGCCCUAUUGAUCCAAAUGCACCUUAAAGUUUGAGAAACAUUGCUAACCAAGCACUACCUUUGAAAUGCAGUGAAACUACAUUUUCAGCUGCUGUGAAGC
RNAcentral lists this long non-coding RNA (509 nucleotides) under Pan troglodytes (chimpanzee). RNAcentral's name for it is "long non-coding RNA NONPTRT012112". The record is from RNAcentral. Lineage: Eukaryota; Metazoa; Chordata; Mammalia; Primates; Hominidae.